CUAAGUGAUCAGAUAUAUGUCUAUUGGCAGGUUUGCAUGGUUGAUGGCAUCAUCGACUUCAAGGUCUGGCUCUGCCACUGGGAAGAUAUGCAGUCCUCUGUGGAAGUCACAGAAGCUGUUGUGGUGACAUAAGUGACCCUCCCGAACCAAAAGAGCAUGUGUGAGAGCUUCCUCCCAUGCUCUGACACUUCCAUUUUGGGACGAGAUUGAUGCUGCUCCUGAUGUGUAUAUGCAUGCCUGUGCUGCUGUUGGGCUGGCUGUGGCCGCCUGCGUCUCGCGCGAGGUUGUUGGCUUAGCUGGCCCGCGGCUUCGACUACCUCCUCGGCGAGUUCACCACGGCGUAACCAUGACGCUCGUGCUCGGCUACAACAUCUCCUGUGAGU
This is a long non-coding RNA of Lolium rigidum, 383 nucleotides long. RefSeq lists it as uncharacterized. The transcript is spliced from 3 exons. The record is from RefSeq and is a predicted model, not a curated record. Lineage: Eukaryota; Viridiplantae; Streptophyta; Magnoliopsida; Poales; Poaceae.